Molecule: ribosomal RNA, 580 nt
Filed under: Pestalotiopsis oryzae
Lineage: Eukaryota; Fungi; Ascomycota; Sordariomycetes; Amphisphaeriales; Sporocadaceae
Description: partial large subunit ribosomal RNA
Rfam family: Eukaryotic large subunit ribosomal RNA
Source: RNAcentral
CGGAGGAAAAGAAACCAACAGGGAUUGCCUUAGUAACGGCGAGUGAAGCGGCAACAGCUCAAAUUUGAAAUCUGGCCCUCGGGUCCGAAUUGUAAUUUGUAGAGGAUGAUUUUGGUGCGGUAUCUUCCGAGUUCCUUGGAACAGGACGCCUUAGAGGGUGAGAGCCCCGUACGGUUGAAUGCCUAGCCUCUGUAAAUCUCCUUCGACGAGUCGAGUAGUUUGGGAAUGCUGCUCUAAAUGGGAGGUAAAUUUCUUCUAAAGCUAAAUAUUGGCCAGAGACCGAUAGCGCACAAGUAGAGUGAUCGAAAGAUGAAAAGCACUUUGAAAAGAGGGUUAAAUAGCACGUGAAAUUGUUGAAAGGGAAGGAUUUGUGACCAGACUUUUUCUGGGCGGAUCAUCCGGGGUUCUCUCCGGUGCACUUUGCCCAGUAAAGGCCAGCAUCGAUUUUCGGCGGCGGAUAAAAGCAGUGGGAAUGUGGCUCCCUACGGGGAGUGUUAUAGCCCAUUGUAUAAUACGCUGCUGGGGAUCGAGGUACGCGCUUCUGCAAGGAUGCUGGCGUAAUGGUUAUCAAUCACCCGUC